GACGAACGCUGGCGGCGUGCUUAACACAUGCAAGUCGAACGGAAAGGCCCUGCUUUUGUGGGGUGCUCGAGUGGCGAACGGGUGAGUAACACGUGAGUAACCUGCCCUUGACUUUGGGAUAACUUCAGGAAACUGGGGCUAAUACCGGAUAGGAGCUCCUGCUGCAUGGUGGGGGUUGGAAAGUUUCGGCGGUUGGGGAUGGACUCGCGGCUUAUCAGCUUGUUGGUGGGGUAGUGGCUUACCAAGGCUUUGACGGGUAGCCGGCCUGAGAGGGUGACCGGCCACAUUGGGACUGAGAUCAGGCCCAGACUCCUACGGGAGGCAGCAGUGAGGAAUAUUGCACGAUGGGCGGAAGCCUGAUGCAGCAACGCCGCGUGCGGGAUGACGGCCUUCGGGUUGUAAACCGCUUUCGCCUGUGACGAAGCGUGAGUGACGGUAAUGGGUAAAGAAGCACCGGGUAACUACGUG
This 468-nucleotide ribosomal RNA is filed under the name uncultured bacterium. Its description in RNAcentral is "partial 16S ribosomal RNA". It matches the Rfam family "Bacterial small subunit ribosomal RNA", at positions 28 to 507 of the family's 1533-position model. The record is from RNAcentral.